CGUGAUGGCGACCGGCGCACGGGUGAGUAACACGUAUCCAACCUGCCGAUAACUCGGGGAUAGCCUUUCGAAAGAAAGAUUAAUACCCGAUGGUAUAAUCAGACCGCAUGGUCUUGUUAUUAAAGAAUUUCGGUUAUCGAUGGGGAUGCGUUCCAUUAGGCAGUUGGUGAGGUAACGGCUCACCAAACCUUCGAUGGAUAGGGGUUCUGAGAGGAAGGUCCCCCACAUUGGAACUGAGACACGGUCCAA
This 249-nucleotide ribosomal RNA is filed under the name uncultured bacterium. Its description in RNAcentral is "partial 16S ribosomal RNA". It matches the Rfam family "Bacterial small subunit ribosomal RNA", at positions 84 to 334 of the family's 1533-position model. The record is from RNAcentral.